ACGAACGCUGGCGGCGUGCCUAAUACAUGCACGUAGAACGCACAGUUUAUACCGUAGCUUGCUACACCAUAGACUGUGAGUUGCGAACGGGUGAGUAACGCGUAGGUAACCUGCCUGGUAGCGGGGGAUAACUAUUGGAAACGAUAGCUAAUACCGCAUAAUAUUGAUUAUUGCAUGAUAAUUAAUUGAAAGGUGCAAUUGCACCACUACCAGAUGGACCUGCGUUGUAUUAGCUAGUAGGUGAGGUAACGGCUCACCUAGGCGACGAUACAUAGCCGACCUGAGAGGGUGAUCGGCCACACUGGGACUGAGACACGGCCCAGACUCCUACGGGAGGCAGCAGUAGGGAAUCUUCGGCAAUGGACGAAAGUCUGACCGAGCAACGCCGCGUGAGUGAAGAAGGUUUUCGGAUCGUAAAGCUCUGUUGUAAGAGAAGAACGGGUGUGAGAGUGGAAAGUUCACACUGUGACGGUAUCUUACCAGAAAGGGACGGCUAACUACGUG
Molecule: ribosomal RNA, 504 nt
Filed under: uncultured bacterium
Lineage: Bacteria
Description: partial 16S ribosomal RNA
Rfam family: Bacterial small subunit ribosomal RNA
Source: RNAcentral